RNAcentral lists this ribosomal RNA (468 nucleotides) under uncultured bacterium. Its description in RNAcentral is "partial 16S ribosomal RNA". It matches the Rfam family "Bacterial small subunit ribosomal RNA", at positions 28 to 507 of the family's 1533-position model. The record is from RNAcentral.
GACGAACGCUGGCGGCGUGCUUAACACAUGCAAGUCGAACGGAAAGGCCCUGCGGUUGGGGGCUGUUCGAGUGGCGAACGGAUCACGAACACAACAUUACCCUGCCCCUGACAUAGGGAUAACUUCAGGAAACUAAUGCUAAUAGCGCACAGGAGCUCCCACUGCAUGGUGUGGGUUGGAUUGUUUCGGCGGUUGGGGAUGGACGCGCGGCUUAUCAGCUUGUUGGUGGGGUAGUGGCUUACCAAGGCUGUGACGGGUAGCCGGCCUGAGAGGGUGACCGGCCACACUGGGACUGAGAUACGGCCCAGACUCCUACGGGAGGCAGCAGUGGGGAAUAUUGCGCAAUGGGCGGAAGCCUGAUGCAGCAACGCCGCGUGCGGGAUGACGGCCUUCGGGUUGUAAACCGCUUUCGGCUGUGACGAAGCGCAAGUGACGGUAACUGGUAAAGAAGCACCGGCUAACUACGUG